Molecule: non-coding RNA, 253 nt
Filed under: uncultured bacterium
Lineage: Bacteria
Also listed under: 2 other names
Description: partial 16S ribosomal RNA
Rfam family: Bacterial small subunit ribosomal RNA
Source: RNAcentral
UACAGAGGGGGCAAGCGUUGUUCGGAAUUACUGGGCGUAAAGGGCGCGUAGGCGGCCGCCUAAGUCAGACGUGAAAUCCCUCGGCUCAACCGGGGAACUGCGUCUGAUACUGGGUGGCUUGAAUCCGGGAGAGGGAUGCGGAAUUCCAGGUGUAGCGGUGAAAUGCGUAGAUAUCUGGAGGAACACCGGUGGCGAAGGCGGCAUCCUGGACCGGCAUUGACGCUGAGGCGCGAAAGCCAGGGGAGCAAACGGG